CUCCUCUGUGUGGGGUCCGUGAUGGCAAUGUGCACGUAUUGGCGUAUCGGGCCCUCGCUUGAAUCUUAGGACAGGAUAACUCGUGGUGGAGACAGCGGACUAGCAGUGCGCCCGUAGGCAAAUGAGGCUCGUGAGGACCAUUUUACGAAACAACUGCCGGUAAUCUUUCAGCAACCGCAGGACUUACCAACAUCGGCCCGUCGCAGUACGGGACCAGCGGCUCCAGAUACGGGACAGACACUGUGAAAUCAGCUGAGGAGGUCUCCUGGGUGGAUGAGUGAGUCAUAACUACCAUCAAAAUCUGCCUUUCAUAGCGUACCUUUCAUACAAAAGAAAAACAUAAAUGUUCUCACCUGUAAAUUGUGAUGUUAUAAUAUGGAAGAGAUUGUCUAUUUUAGAUAAUUCCUUUAUGAUACUAUGAUCCCCAUACGUUAAGCUGAUUAUAGAAUGUCCAAUUGCUAGG
Hyla sarda is the source of this 463-nucleotide long non-coding RNA. RefSeq lists it as uncharacterized. Lineage: Eukaryota; Metazoa; Chordata; Amphibia; Anura; Hylidae. The record is from RefSeq and is a predicted model, not a curated record. The transcript is spliced from 3 exons.